GUUAUAUUGCCUUAAUUACAAAAAGGACUUUGCAGAUGUGAUUAAGUUAAGGAUCUUGAAAUGGGAAAAUUAUCCUGAUUAGCCAGGCAGGCCCGAUACAAUCUCAAGAGUCAUUUUAAGAGAAGGAUGAGGACAGAAGUCAGAGAGAAGAUGGUGCUGGCUUGGAAGAUGGUGGAGAGGGCCACACACCAAGAAAUGCAGGAAGGAUGCCUCGGCACCACAGUGAGGGGAGAGGGUGAGGAAAAGGGCAGAAAUUCCAGAGGGGACCUCAGGAAUUAGGAGGACCGUGUGUGAACUGAACGACCUUUCAUGGCCUGCAUCUCUCGGGACUGGGCCUGAGCCGCUUUGGGGAACCAGGCCCAAACUCCACCACCAAAAAGGAAAAUACGGUGAGACUGAAAGGUGUGUGGCUGGAGUUUUCUGGACAGGCCCUGUGAAAAUCCCCCCAAGCAGGCCGCUUACCUGAAUUCCACGUGAUGACUGUGUUGUCUGCAGGGAACAGCUUAGAACAUUCUCUCCACCUGGGUUUUCUUGACCUAAGCAGAUGGGAUGGCUUCUGUCUGACUCACCCUAAGCCUGACCUACUUGUGAAAUGCUUUCUGUACAAAAAGCUGGAGGUCACCACAGAGCAUUCUAGAGUUUAUUGAGUGCUUACCAUGAAUUCCAGACACUGUCCAUACAUCUGCUGCUGCUAAGUCGCCUCAGUCGUGUCCAACUCUGUGCGACCCCAUGGACUGCAGCCUACCAGGCUUCUCCGUCCCUGGGAUUCUCCAGGCAAGAACACUGGAGUGGGUUGCCAUUUCCUUCUCCAAUGCAUGAAAGUGAAAAGUGAAAGUGAAGUCGCUCAGGCAUGUCCAACCCUCAGCGAUCCAAUGGACUGCAGCCCUCCAGGCUCCUCCAUCCAUGGGAUUUUCCAGGCAAGAGUACUGGAAUGGAGUGCCAUUGCCUUCAGCAUAGUGCUGAACACACCAUUUCCUCCAUUUUGAAGGGAACUCAGGCCUAUCACGGUGCCUGGCACAUAAAAGACAUUCCUACAUGUUUGGAUCAAUGAAGCAACUUGUUCAAGUCACAGCUCUAGCAAGGGGCAAAGGGACACUCCAGGCCAGGGCUCUCAGCCCAGUGCUGCUGCUUCUAUGUCACCAUCUCUAUCUUCAGUCACUCAAGUGAGGCUGAUUCUCCAAGGAGGCUGGAGUGGGAGUGGGAGGAGCGUGUGGAUUUACGGAUGGGGAAGUGUUAGAUCUUCCUGCAUCCAGAGUUCUUGCAUUGCCAGGUAUGUUCAAAUAAAUAAUGCCCCCCUCCUCCAAUAUAUGUAGGUCUUCAUCCUCACAACUUGUGAAUGUCACCUUCCUUAUAUUCACCUUUGAAUGUCACUUCCCAGGUGGCACCAGUGGUAAAGAAUCCACCUGUCAAUGCAGGAGAUGCAGGUUCCAUCCCUGUGUUGGGAAGAUCCCCUGGAGAAGGAAAUGGCAACCUACUCCAGUAUUCUUGCCGGGAAAGUCCCAUAGGCAGAGGAGCCUGGUGGGCUACAGUCCAUGGGGUCACAAAGAGUUGAACAUGACAGCACACACAGACACACACUGUCAUAAUCCAGAUGCGAUUAAGUUAAAUUUAGCCCAGAUGUGGUUAAGGAUCUCAAGGCAGGAAGAUUAUCUUGGAUUAUCCAGGUGGGCUCCAAACACAAUCACAUGUGUCCUUUGAAGAGGGAGGCAGAGGGAGAUUUGACACACAGAGAAGAGGAGGCGAUGUGAUUGCGGAGGUGAGAGAUUGGAUUGGUGCAGCCACAAGCCCGUGAUUGCCACUGGAAGCUGGAAGAGGCAAGGAAUGGAUUCUUUCCUUCCUCAGAGUCCCUGGAGGGAGAGCCACUCUCCCCAUUCCUUGAUUUCAGCCCAAGGAUACUGAGUUCAGAAUUCUGGUUUCCAGAACCUCGAGAGAAUAAAUUUCCAUUGUUUGAAGAGACCCAGUUUAUGGCGACUUAAUACGGCAGCCACAGGAAACUGAUACACCUGCUUUGGGGGAUGGCUCAGAAACACCUCCGGGUCUGCAGUCCUCUGACCUCUGCCGUCUGGGGGACCAAGAAGGGGUUCCUGUGGCCCCUGUGCCUGAAGCAGAAACAGAGGAGGCCGAGCUGCACCUGUGUCGGUCGGAAAGUUAUUUUGAUGGGGACCGUUUUUAAUA
Long non-coding RNA from Bos taurus (domestic cattle), 2175 nucleotides. The record is from Ensembl. Lineage: Eukaryota; Metazoa; Chordata; Mammalia; Artiodactyla; Bovidae.